UGUUUAUUUUUGUCCGGCGUGCCUGUUAGAGUUUCAGUUGAGCAAAAAUUUUGAGUGGUAAGUGAGUUAGUGAGGAGAGGAAAUUUAGGGAUAUGUUGGCAUAUUCUUUAUUUUAUUUUUUAUUUUUAUUUUUGUUUUGUUAUUUUUUCUCUCACCUCCAAAAAUCCCCAAAAAUUUGACGUUUUCUUUCCUGUCAAUUGGGAAAGUCCCUUUUCCCUUGCCUUUGGAAUUUUGUCGCGUUUUUGUUGCUCAAUCUUGGUGUAUCAGUUUUUCGGUGUUGUGGUGCGGCUUGGUAAGUG
This 299-nucleotide long non-coding RNA is filed under the name Gossypium raimondii (Peruvian cotton). Its description in RNAcentral is "long non-coding RNA (GRAI_LNC005675)". Lineage: Eukaryota; Viridiplantae; Streptophyta; Magnoliopsida; Malvales; Malvaceae. The record is from RNAcentral.